Molecule: ribosomal RNA, 444 nt
Filed under: uncultured bacterium
Lineage: Bacteria
Description: SSU rRNA
Rfam family: Bacterial small subunit ribosomal RNA
Source: RNAcentral
AGAGCGAACGCUGGCGGCAGGCCUAACACAUGCAAGUCGAGCGCCCCGCAAGGGGAGCGGCAGACGGGAGAGUAACACGUGGGAACGUACCCUUUGGUUCGGAACAACACAGGGAAACUUGUGCUAAUACCGGAUAAGCCCUUACGGGGAAAGAUUUAUUGCCAAAGGAUCGGCCCGCGUCUGAUUAGCUUGUUGGUGAGGUAACGGCUCACCAAGGCUACGAUCAGUAGCUGGUCUGAGAGGAUGAUCAGCCUCACUGGGACUGAGACACGGCCCAGACUCCUACGGGAGGCAGCAGUGGGGAAUAUUGGACAAUGGGCGCAAGCCUGAUCCAGCCAUGCCGCGUGGAUGAUGAAGGCCCUAGGGUUGUAGAGUCCUUUCGACGGGGAAGAUAAUGACGGUACCCGUAGAAGAAGCCCCGGCUAACUUCGUGCCAGCAGCCGC